RNAcentral lists this long non-coding RNA (900 nucleotides) under Manihot esculenta (cassava). RNAcentral's name for it is "long non-coding RNA (MESC_LNC009578)". Lineage: Eukaryota; Viridiplantae; Streptophyta; Magnoliopsida; Malpighiales; Euphorbiaceae. The record is from RNAcentral.
UGACUCACGGUUGUCGAAGCCGGUCAAAAAUAACCUUUCUGGUUAUCAACAAUUUACAACUGUAGAUAGUGGUGAAAGGAUCGAAUCCACAGAGAAUUGAGAACUCACCUAUUUCUCUUUUUAUGACCAAGAAAAUAAACUGGAACAAUAAUAAACUAAAAAUGAGAUAAAAACUGAAAGUGGGAUCAAAUGAGAUAAACUGAAAAUUGGGAUAAAAAACUGUCAACAAAAUAACAGGGGGGGUUUUGAGAUUGAUUGUAGUAAACUCAUAAUGAGAAUAAUAAUGGAAAGCAAAUAAUAAAAUAAAGAGUAAUCAAUAAUGAGAAAGUUCUAGUUGAAGUAUUGGAUCCACUUUAGUUGUUGGGAUUGAUCACAGACACUUUGUUCUUUUGGGUUGAUUCAAUAGAUUAGUUAUGGAGAUGGAAGACGCUUGUCACCACCAUUAUCUCUCCUUAUGAUUAAACCAAUUAGGGAACGUCCUCUAAUUAAUUACUAAUUAACAAAUUGCCAAGGAACGUCCUUGGGCCUUAGGCAUCAAAACAAUUGUCAAUUGCAUUAAGAAAUAGAGAUAUCCAAUCCUAGCUACCCAAACGUAUGGAGAUAACGCUAGAUCAUACAAUUUCCUUGGUUUUUAUCCCAAGUGUUCUCAUGUAAGAAUAAUCCAAGCAAUUACGGACUUAAAUUAUUCAAACUAACAAAUAAUUAUUUUGCAAUAAAAAAUCAACGUAGAUCUCAAUAACAAAAUAAUAUGAAAAUUAAAUAUGAAAUUGCAUGAAUAUUGAAUUCCCAAAAAUUAAACAAUAUUUGAUCAAGUCUCACAACCCAUUAAUCAACUAAACCUUCAACCAAUAUUCAACUAGAUCAAAGAAAUUCAGCCACUCAUUGGCUGAAUUAAAAACA